Pundamilia nyererei is the source of this 2171-nucleotide long non-coding RNA. RefSeq lists it as uncharacterized. The transcript has 5 exons. The record is from RefSeq and is a predicted model, not a curated record. Lineage: Eukaryota; Metazoa; Chordata; Actinopteri; Cichliformes; Cichlidae.
CUGUUGAGAAUAUGGCGGCUGAUCUCGUGACCUGUUGUUUACGCUGACGUAGCUCCGCCCCGGACUGUCCGCGUGCUGCUGGUUGCGAGCUCAGUCAGUGAGAGAGGAUCCUCGCGACCACGUCGAUCUUAACGGCUGUCUUUGACGUUGAAACGGUCACAGGCUGCUGGAUUAAACCGGUAACCUGAGCAGAUUCCGGCGUUAACAAUACACGGUGGAUUGUCCUAUGAUGGAGGAGCUACAUGAUGUCCAGCUCACUGAGAUCAAACCACUGCUGACAGGACAGAAUGGGAGGAAUCUCCAGGAUUUCGAUUGUCAGGAUGUCUGACUCUCUGGAUCUGCACCAGAUCUUCUGUUCUUUAGAAGUUGGGGUGGUGAGUCAGCUGCUCAUUAGCUCCUCUGGAGUCAUGCUUCACCAGCUGAUACCUUACAGCUGCUGAGCCAGUUUGCUUCGUAGCCUGCUCUCUGCUUUUAGUUGCCUCGAGUUAGCUGGAGAGGAGUCGGCUGCUUUUCCAUGCUGUGAUAUUAAUCUGUUAAAAUGUUACUUACAACACGUCCGUCUAUGUACAGCGCUAUCGUGUCUGAGGACUGUUCUUCAUGACUGUGGCUGCAUGUUUGGGCUCACUGUCACUGCUCUGAUGGUACUGCAUGAGUAACAGCAUUGAGACCACUAAUUCUGAUUGCAGGGAAUUCACUUCCUGCCUCAGACGGUUCAGAGGUCGCCGAAGUGGACCUCAGAACCGUGUGAGGUCCACUUGAAUAAAGCGUGCUGUCAAAGCAGAGACUCAGCCGUUGCAUUGGAAAACUGUGAAAACUAAUUUUUGAGUUCAGUUCAGUAUAGAGGCUUCAUAAUGUGUUUUCUUAUUCUUUUAAGAUACACUGUUUCCCCAAAGUCAGGAACAGCUGUAACACUUUAGCUAAAGCACUUUGUUUUAAACAUGCUUGGAGCUUCACUCUGCUGCCUGCAGACUUUCAUCCUACAAACUUCUGCUAGAGGAAGUAUCACAGUUUGACUCACCAAUCCAGAGAAAAGCUCUCACACUUUCAUACAAAGGUGAAUCCCUCCACUUGUUUUCCACAUCACAGGUCCUGAGCCCGUCUGACCGCACUCCUGAAUAAAGAAAUGAGACUCAUCAAAGAAACUGACUUUUCAAGCAUCCUCGUGUUUACGUGCACUGAACCUCACACACGGGCUUGUACUCAGCCUGGUUUCACACAGGAAGUUUCAGAAGAGUCGUCCUGGGAUCUUUUCCACAGUUUUCCUCUCUCACAUGAAGCACGCAGCAGGAAAUGACCUGCUUUAGACACGAUUCUGAAUUGAUACUGAUAGUACCUUAAAUCAUUUGUACAGAAGUCCACGUACUAUGGACUUGCCAGUGAUCACGAUUAUUUAACGAGGUUUCUCAAAGACUGGAAAAAAUUGAGAGUACAUCAAAAUAGAAAUCUGUGUUUUAAUUAAGUGGAUUUGCUUGAAUUUUAAUUACAGUUGAACUGGAAAAGCUAAAUAAGUAAAUCUGUGUGUACUGAAGCAGUUAUUCCACAGCCUGGAGGGGGGAGAGUUUGGACUUUUCUGGAAAAAGUAAAAGAAAAAUGUGCUGAAACAAACUUCUGUUCUUGUUCUAAUAUUAAUUGGAACCCAAAAUUGUAACUGAAAUUAAAAAUUGAUCAUUUUGUUCAUGCAGACUUUUUAAAAUAGAACUGAAGACCUGGUGUUACAGAGGUGUGAAAAUGGCGUAGUCACGUGUCACAUGAUGUUGUUUAUUAGCACGUUUAUAGUAUAUUUACUUAGUGAGGUGCUCUUCUGUGUGUCCGCUGACUCUGUGCUUUGAGUAAAAGCAUACGAAUGCUCUCACUGUGCCGCAGAUCCAAACAUGUAAAACUGUGUGUGCAUGUGAGUAAGUAUGAACUUCAGAUCCAUUAAUGGGAUCUGUCAGGUGGUUCCAUGAGUCAGUAAUGAGAUUACAGCACCCAUGAAUCCAUUCACGGGUCUGUGCGCCUGCCUGUGUUUCCAUCUGUUACCAGAUGAAUGUGGAUGAUUUCCUACACAGCCUGUGACAGGCUGAGAGUCGCCACGCGUUCGUGUGGCGUGGUUCCUGAUCACAUGAACAUGAAUGAUCUGUUCAGAGCUGCUGACACUUGUUCACUGUCUUAAAAUGACUCCAGAUAUUAGA